GAAGGUGAAUAAGCAUGAUUACAGCAUCAAUUGAUGCACAUAUUCUUGCAAUAACAACCUGUGGAGCUGUGUUCUUCUGAGCAUCAUCAUGGGGUCUAGUGCCACGGAAAUUGAAGAAUUGGAAAACACCACUUUUAAGUAUCUUACAGGAGAACAGACUGAAAAAAUGUGGCAGCGCCUGAAAGGAAUACUAAGAUGCUUAGUGAAGCAGCUGGAAAGAGGUGACGUUAACGUCGUUGACUUAAAGAAGAAUAUUGAAUAUGCGGCAUCUGUGCUGGAAGCAGUUUAUAUCGAUGAAACAAGAAGACUUCUGGAUACUGAAGAUGAGCUCAGUGACAUUCAGACUGACUCAGUCCCAUCUGAAGUCCGGGACUGGUUGGCUUCUACCUUUACACGGAAAAUGGGGAUGACAAAAAAGAAACCUGAGGAAAAACCAAAAUUUCGGAGCAUUGUGCAUGCUGUUCAAGCUGGAAUUUUUGUGGAAAGGAUGUACCGAAAAACAUAUCAUAUGGUUGGUUUGGCAUAUCCAGCAGCUGUCAUCGUAACAUUAAAG
RNAcentral lists this small RNA (553 nucleotides) under Pongo abelii (Sumatran orangutan). Its description in RNAcentral is "processed transcript". The record is from RNAcentral. Lineage: Eukaryota; Metazoa; Chordata; Mammalia; Primates; Hominidae.